GACGAACGCUGGCGGCGUGCCUAAUACAUGCAAGUUGAGCGCUGAAGGUUGGUACUUGUACCAACUGGAUGAGCAGCGAACGGGUGAGUAACGCGUGGGGAAUCUGCCUUUGAGCGGGGGACAACAUUUGGAAACGAAUGCUAAUACCGCAUAAAAACUUUAAACACAAGUUUUAAGUUUGAAAGAUGCAAUUGCAUCACUCAAAGAUGAUCCCGCGUUGUAUUAGCUAGUUGGUGAGGUAAAGGCUCACCAAGGCGAUGAUACAUAGCCGACCUGAGAGGGUGAUCGGCCACAUUGGGACUGAGACACGGCCCAAACUCCUACGGGAGGCAGCAGUAGGGAAUCUUCGGCAAUAGACGAAAGUCUGACCGAGCAACGCCGCGUGAGUGAAGAGGGUUUUCGGAUCGUAAAACUCUGUUGGUAGAGAAGAACGUUGGUGAGAGUGGAAAGCUCAUCAAGUGACGGUAACUACCCAGAAAGGGACGGCUAACUACGUG
This 497-nucleotide ribosomal RNA is filed under the name uncultured bacterium. RNAcentral describes it as "partial 16S ribosomal RNA". It matches the Rfam family "Bacterial small subunit ribosomal RNA", at positions 28 to 507 of the family's 1533-position model. The record is from RNAcentral.